This 113-nucleotide ribosomal RNA is filed under the name uncultured eukaryote. RNAcentral's name for it is "partial small subunit ribosomal RNA". The record is from RNAcentral.
AGGGGGGGGCCAAGUCGCCGCGCCGACCGCAAGGGGGCAGGCGUCCACGGUAUGGUUCAUGAUUGGGGUGAAGUCGUAACAAGGUAGCUGUAGGUGAACCUGCAGAAGGAUCA